Molecule: long non-coding RNA, 541 nt
Organism: Contarinia nasturtii (swede midge)
Lineage: Eukaryota; Metazoa; Arthropoda; Insecta; Diptera; Cecidomyiidae
Exons: 3
Source: RefSeq, a predicted model, not a curated record
UUUUAUCAAUCGAACAACAUUACAUUUCAAGUUGCCGGCUGAAUCGCACGCCAAGUACAUUUGAAGAGUUAAUAAAUAGAAAGAAUCAAUCAUGAUUCGCGUUGUAAUUAUAUUAUUGCAUUUCUCGAUCGCAUUGACUAUUGAGAGACCACAGUAUGAAAUGAUUGAAGGUACUCCGUAUGAAAUUUGCUACGGAUUCAUACAGUGGAUAAGAUUUUUGGAAACGUCAGACCAUGCUCCACAACAGGUAACCGUCAUAAAACUUCAUAACGAAGAAUUUUCACACUACACCAACGUUGCACAACAUCGAAAUUGGCUACUGCAUGCUUAUUACUACAGUUUGGAAGUGCAAUUAUUAACCAAUUCUUGUAGCAACUCCGAAGAUAGAGGCUUCGCAGCAUUCAGAAUAUACAGAGAAAAAGAAUCAUAAACAUAAGUCCCCAUUAAAUAUUAUGAAACAAAAAUGUGUUUAACAUUUUACUCUAAUACAGCAAUAUUCAUGUAAAUAAAAAAAAAUUGUUUGUAUUAUUGACAUAACGUA